CAAUAAUUAAUUCAGUCCUGAUACUACUGUUUUUAAAUGAUAUUCAUUGUCAGACCUUCACUCAGUCUGAAGCUGUGGUAAAAAGACCAGGUGAAUCUUUUCGUCUGGUCUGUACUGCCUCUGGAUAUUCAUUCAGCGGCUACUGGGCAGGUGUAGUGAGACAGGCACCCGGUAAAGGACUGGAAUGGGUUUCAACUAUCGGCACGUCCAGUUCUCCAAUCUACUAUUCCCAGUCAGUUCAGGGAAGGUUCACAGUGUCCAGAGAUGAUUCCAGCAGUCAACUGUAUCUACAGAUGAACAGCCUCAAGACUGAAGACACUCCUGUGUAUUACUGUGCUAGAGAGUCACAGUGAAUGAGUUCAGUGUCAAAGCAAUACAAAAACCACCUUCACUGUUGACUUCACUGAU
Carassius gibelio (silver crucian carp) is the source of this 408-nucleotide long non-coding RNA. RefSeq lists it as uncharacterized. Lineage: Eukaryota; Metazoa; Chordata; Actinopteri; Cypriniformes; Cyprinidae. The record is from RefSeq and is a predicted model, not a curated record. The transcript is spliced from 3 exons.